This 434-nucleotide ribosomal RNA is filed under the name uncultured bacterium. RNAcentral's name for it is "partial 16S ribosomal RNA". It matches the Rfam family "Bacterial small subunit ribosomal RNA", at positions 29 to 507 of the family's 1533-position model. The record is from RNAcentral.
AGCGAACGCUGGCGGCAGGCCUAACACAUGCAAGUCGAACGAACCUUUCGGGGUUAGUGGCGGACGGGUGAGUAACACGUGGGAACGUGCCUUUAGGUUCGGAAUAACUCAGGGAAACUUGUGCUAAUACCGAAUGUGCCCUUCGGGGGAAAGAUUAAUCGCCUUUAGAGCGGCCCGCGUCUGAUUAGCUAGUUGGUUGAGGUAAUGGCUCACCAAGGCGACGAUCAGUAGCUGGUCUGAGAGGAUGAUCAGCCACAUUGGGACUGAGACACGGCCCAAACUCCUACGGGAGGCAGCAGUGGGGAAUCUUGCGCAAUGGGCGAAAGCCUGACGCAGCCAUGCCGCGUGAAUGGUGAAGGUCUUAGGAUUGUAAAAUUCUUUCACCGGGGACGAUAAUGACGGUACCCGGAGAAGAAGCCCCGGCUAACUUCGUG